GCCCGGAUGGUGGAAUGGUAGACACAGGGGUUUCAAAAACCCCCGCCGCGAGGCGUGCGAGUUCGACUCUCGCUCCGGGCACCA
Molecule: transfer RNA, 84 nt
Filed under: Paracoccaceae bacterium
Lineage: Bacteria; Pseudomonadati; Pseudomonadota; Alphaproteobacteria; Rhodobacterales; Paracoccaceae
Description: Rhodobacteraceae bacterium tRNA-Leu
Rfam family: tRNA
About the family: Transfer RNA (tRNA) molecules are approximately 80 nucleotides in length. Their secondary structure includes four short double-helical elements and three loops (D, anti-codon, and T loops).
Source: RNAcentral